This is a long non-coding RNA of Liolophura sinensis, 286 nucleotides long. RefSeq lists it as uncharacterized. The transcript is spliced from 3 exons. Lineage: Eukaryota; Metazoa; Mollusca; Polyplacophora; Chitonida; Chitonidae. The record is from RefSeq and is a predicted model, not a curated record.
CAAAAGCGCGAGCAUCAGUGCGGCCCCAGUGCAAGAAACUGUGCACCCGAAGAAGCAAAACUGACCAUAGCGAGGAAUGGUGAGCCAAAGAUGUACUUGGGGUCCAGUGACUGAAUCUGAUCCUGGGUGCACAAGUGAACUCGUUCCCAGCGGAACUUCCACCUCACGCCGAUCGCUUAAAAAGGACAGUAUGCAGGUGACUGAAUCUGAACCCAGCGGGGCUCGCCCAAGUACUGAUCCUGAGGACACAAGUAGACUCGUACCCACUGGGGCUCCCAUUUCAUGC